UGGCAGGGUUAUACAGGCUCCUGAUUAGAGACAGGAGCAUACAUAAGGUGGCAGGGUUAUACAGGCUCCUGAUUUGAGACAGGAGCAUACAUAAGGUGGCAGGGUUAUAAGCAUACAUAAGGUGGCAGGGUUAUACAGGCUCCUGAUUUGAGACAGGAGCAUACAUAAGGUGGCAGGGUUAUACAGGCUCCAGAUUUGAGACAGGAGCAUACAUAAGGUGGCAGGGUUAUACAGGCUCCUGAUUUGAGACAGGAGCAUACACAAGGUGGCAAGGUUAUACAUGUUUACUGGUGCCAAACCCUCCCCUAACCUUAGUGUUACAGCUCAAAAUAAGAACAAACUAUACAAAUCAGCUGAAAAGGGUGGAACUCAUUAGACCAUUACAAGGCAUAAAAAGCGU
This 400-nucleotide long non-coding RNA is filed under the name Mytilus galloprovincialis (Mediterranean mussel). The record is from RNAcentral. Lineage: Eukaryota; Metazoa; Mollusca; Bivalvia; Mytilida; Mytilidae.